Molecule: ribosomal RNA, 1554 nt
Filed under: Salmonella enterica subsp. enterica serovar Pomona
Lineage: Bacteria; Pseudomonadati; Pseudomonadota; Gammaproteobacteria; Enterobacterales; Enterobacteriaceae
Also listed under: 1 other name
Description: bacterial SSU rRNA
Rfam family: Bacterial small subunit ribosomal RNA
Source: RNAcentral
UUAAAUUGAAGAGUUUGAUCAUGGCUCAGAUUGAACGCUGGCGGCAGGCCUAACACAUGCAAGUCGAACGGUAACAGGAAGCAGCUUGCUGCUUCGCUGACGAGUGGCGGACGGGUGAGUAAUGUCUGGGAAACUGCCUGAUGGAGGGGGAUAACUACUGGAAACGGUGGCUAAUACCGCAUAACGUCGCAAGACCAAAGAGGGGGACCUUCGGGCCUCUUGCCAUCAGAUGUGCCCAGAUGGGAUUAGCUUGUUGGUGAGGUAACGGCUCACCAAGGCGACGAUCCCUAGCUGGUCUGAGAGGAUGACCAGCCACACUGGAACUGAGACACGGUCCAGACUCCUACGGGAGGCAGCAGUGGGGAAUAUUGCACAAUGGGCGCAAGCCUGAUGCAGCCAUGCCGCGUGUAUGAAGAAGGCCUUCGGGUUGUAAAGUACUUUCAGCGGGGAGGAAGGUGUUGUGGUUAAUAACCGCAGCAAUUGACGUUACCCGCAGAAGAAGCACCGGCUAACUCCGUGCCAGCAGCCGCGGUAAUACGGAGGGUGCAAGCGUUAAUCGGAAUUACUGGGCGUAAAGCGCACGCAGGCGGUCUGUCAAGUCGGAUGUGAAAUCCCCGGGCUCAACCUGGGAACUGCAUUCGAAACUGGCAGGCUUGAGUCUUGUAGAGGGGGGUAGAAUUCCAGGUGUAGCGGUGAAAUGCGUAGAGAUCUGGAGGAAUACCGGUGGCGAAGGCGGCCCCCUGGACAAAGACUGACGCUCAGGUGCGAAAGCGUGGGGAGCAAACAGGAUUAGAUACCCUGGUAGUCCACGCCGUAAACGAUGUCUACUUGGAGGUUGUGCCCUUGAGGCGUGGCUUCCGGAGCUAACGCGUUAAGUAGACCGCCUGGGGAGUACGGCCGCAAGGUUAAAACUCAAAUGAAUUGACGGGGGCCCGCACAAGCGGUGGAGCAUGUGGUUUAAUUCGAUGCAACGCGAAGAACCUUACCUGGUCUUGACAUCCACAGAACUUUCCAGAGAUGGAUUGGUGCCUUCGGGAACUGUGAGACAGGUGCUGCAUGGCUGUCGUCAGCUCGUGUUGUGAAAUGUUGGGUUAAGUCCCGCAACGAGCGCAACCCUUAUCCUUUGUUGCCAGCGAUUCGGUCGGGAACUCAAAGGAGACUGCCAGUGAUAAACUGGAGGAAGGUGGGGAUGACGUCAAGUCAUCAUGGCCCUUACGACCAGGGCUACACACGUGCUACAAUGGCGCAUACAAAGAGAAGCGACCUCGCGAGAGCAAGCGGACCUCAUAAAGUGCGUCGUAGUCCGGAUUGGAGUCUGCAACUCGACUCCAUGAAGUCGGAAUCGCUAGUAAUCGUGGAUCAGAAUGCCACGGUGAAUACGUUCCCGGGCCUUGUACACACCGCCCGUCACACCAUGGGAGUGGGUUGCAAAAGAAGUAGGUAGCUUAACCUUCGGGAGGGCGCUUACCACUUUGUGAUUCAUGACUGGGGUGAAGUCGUAACAAGGUAACCGUAGGGGAACCUGCGGUUGGAUCACCUCCUUACCUUAAAGAA